This 831-nucleotide ribosomal RNA is filed under the name uncultured bacterium. RNAcentral describes it as "bacterial SSU rRNA". It matches the Rfam family "Bacterial small subunit ribosomal RNA", at positions 53 to 853 of the family's 1533-position model. The record is from RNAcentral.
UCAGCGAGUCUGCCUUGAAGAUCGGAGUGCUUGCACUCUGUGAAACAAGAUACAGGCUAGCGGCGGACGGGUGAGUAACACGUGGGUAACCUGCCCAAGAGAUCGGGAUAACACCUGGAAACAGAUGCUAAUACCGGAUAACAACAGAUGAUGCCUAUCAACUGUUUAAAAGAUGGUUCUGCUAUCACUCUUGGAUGGACCUGCGGUGCAUUAGCUAGUUGGUAGGGUAACGGCCUACCAAGGCGAUGAUGCAUAGCCGAGUUGAGAGACUGAUCGGCCACAUUGGGACUGAGACACGGCCCAAACUCCUACGGGAGGCAGCAGUAGGGAAUCUUCCACAAUGGACGCAAGUCUGAUGGAGCAACGCCGCGUGAGUGAAGAAGGGUUUCGGCUCGUAAAGCUCUGUUGUUGGUGAAGAAGGACAGGGGUAGUAACUGACCUUUGUUUGACGGUAAUCAAUUAGAAAGUCACGGCUAACUACGUGCCAGCAGCCGCGGUAAUACGUAGGUGGCAAGCGUUGUCCGGAUUUAUUGGGCGUAAAGCGAGUGCAGGCGGCUCGAUAAGUCUGAUGUGAAAGCCUUCGGCUCAACCGGAGAAUUGCAUCAGAAACUGUCGAGCUUGAGUACAGAAGAGGAGAGUGGAACUCCAUGUGUAGCGGUGAAAUGCGUAGAUAUAUGGAAGAACACCGGUGGCGAAGGCGGCUCUCUGGUCUGUUACUGACGCUGAGGCUCGAAAGCAUGGGUAGCGAACAGGAUUAGAUACCCUGGUAGUCCAUGCCGUAAACGAUGAGUGCUAAGUGUUGGGAGGUUUUCGCCUCUCAGUGCUGCAGCU